Molecule: ribosomal RNA, 253 nt
Filed under: uncultured Lactobacillus sp.
Lineage: Bacteria; Bacillati; Bacillota; Bacilli; Lactobacillales; Lactobacillaceae
Description: partial 16S ribosomal RNA
Rfam family: Bacterial small subunit ribosomal RNA
Source: RNAcentral
UGCAUAGCCGAGUUGAGAGACUGAUCGGCCACAUUGGGACUGAGACACGGCCCAAACUCCUACGGGAGGCAGCAGUAGGAAUCUUCCACAAUGGACGCAAGUCUGAUGGAGCAACGCCGCGUGAGUGAAGAAGGUUUUCGGAUCGUAAAGCUCUGUUGUUGGUGAAGAAGGAUAGAGGUAGUAACUGGCCUUUAUUUGACGGUAAUCAACCAGAAAGUCACGGCUAACUACGUGCCCAGCAGCCGCGGUAAAU